RNAcentral lists this long non-coding RNA (337 nucleotides) under Rattus norvegicus (Norway rat). RNAcentral's name for it is "long non-coding RNA NONRATT021988". The record is from RNAcentral. Lineage: Eukaryota; Metazoa; Chordata; Mammalia; Rodentia; Muridae.
AGCUUUUUAUUCUCAAUAGCAAUUUCAAAAGCAAUUUAAUUAAAAACUUGAACUUAUUUACUGCAGGCAUGUUACAUGGAAUUGGAAAAUUUAUAGUGGAAAUAAUUUGCUGUCGUUUCAGACUUGGAUCCUACAAGCCCGUCCAUUCUGUCCCCUUUGCGGAUGGCCACACAGACAACCACUUACCUCUUCUAGAGAACAACACACAUUAGCACCUCGUGGGUGGAGAAAAACUUUUUGCCUGAGACAUAAAGCCUUUUCUAAUAAUAAAAUGUUGUGCAAUAUAUUCAAAGAAAAAGAAAAUAUGAGAACCCGGAAACUUACUUAUUUAAAAAAA